GCCUCGGUGGUGUAGUGAUGGAGCACUCGUCCCCGGUAUGGAUGAAACGCGGGUUCGAUUCCCGUCGGAGGUC
Parelaphostrongylus tenuis is the source of this 73-nucleotide non-coding RNA. NCBI's taxonomy places the organism in Eukaryota, Metazoa, Nematoda, Chromadorea, Rhabditida, Metastrongylidae. The record is from the annotation of a GenBank genome assembly.